UGUGAGGUUGCCGUGAUGGAA
RNAcentral lists this unclassified non-coding RNA (21 nucleotides) under Chlamydomonas reinhardtii. RNAcentral describes it as "small RNA Cre_3564". The record is from RNAcentral. Lineage: Eukaryota; Viridiplantae; Chlorophyta; Chlorophyceae; Chlamydomonadales; Chlamydomonadaceae.